GAUGAACGCUGGCGGCGUGCCUAAUACAUGCAAGUCGAGCGAACAGACGAGGAGCUUGCUCCUCUGCCGUUAGCGGCGGACGGGUGAGUAACACGUGGAUAACCUACCUAUAAGACUAGGAUCACUUCGGGAACCCGGAGCUCAUACCGGAUAAUAUAUUGAACCGCAUGGUUCAAUAGUGAAAGCCGGUUCUGCUGUCCCUAAUAGAUGGUUCCGCGCCGCAUUAGCUAGUUGGUAAGGUAACGGCUUACCAAGGCAACGAUGCGUAGCCGACCUGAGAGGGUGAUCAGCCACACUGGAACUGAGACACGGUCCAGACUCCUACGGGAGGCAGCAGUAGGGAAUCUUCCGCAAUGGGCGAAAGCCUGACGGAGCAACGCCGCGUGAGUGAUGAAGGUCUUCGGAUCGUAAAACUCUGUUAGUAGGGAAGAACAAAAGUGUAAGUAACUAUUCACGUCUUGACGGUACCUAAACAGAAAGCCACGGCUAACUACGUG
Molecule: ribosomal RNA, 497 nt
Filed under: uncultured bacterium
Lineage: Bacteria
Description: partial 16S ribosomal RNA
Rfam family: Bacterial small subunit ribosomal RNA
Source: RNAcentral